This 406-nucleotide ribosomal RNA is filed under the name uncultured bacterium. RNAcentral's name for it is "partial 16S ribosomal RNA". It matches the Rfam family "Bacterial small subunit ribosomal RNA", at positions 30 to 526 of the family's 1533-position model. The record is from RNAcentral.
AUUGAACGCUGGCGGCAGGCCUAACACAUGCAAGUCGAACGAGUGGCGGACGGGUGAGUAAUGUCUGGGAAACUGCCUGAUGGAGGGGGAUAACUACUGAAAACGGUAGCUAAUCCCGCAUACCAUCGGAUGUGCCCAGAUGGGAUUAGCUAGUAGGUGGGGUAACGACUCAACUAGGCGACGAUCCCUAGCUGGUCUGAGAGGAUGACCAGACACACCUGAAAUGAGACACGGUCCAGAUUCCAACGGGAUGCAGCAGUGGGGAAUAUUGCACAAUGGGCGCAAGCCUGAUGCAGCGAUGCCGCAUGUAUUAAGAAGGCCUUAGGGUUGUAAAGUACUUUCAGCGGGGAGGCGUUACCCGCAGAAGAAGCACCGGCUAACUCCGUGCCAGCAGCCGCGGUAAUUC